RNAcentral lists this ribosomal RNA (188 nucleotides) under uncultured soil bacterium. RNAcentral describes it as "partial 16S ribosomal RNA". It matches the Rfam family "Bacterial small subunit ribosomal RNA", at positions 26 to 219 of the family's 1533-position model. The record is from RNAcentral.
AGAUUGAACGCUGGCGGCAUGCCUUACACAUGCAAGUCGAACGGUAGAGUAGCAAUACUCGAGAGUGGCGAACGGGUGAGUAAUAUAUCGGAACGUGCCCUGGAGUGGGGGAGUAACGCAGCGAAAGUUGCGCUAAUACCGCAUACGAUCUACGGAUGAAAGUGGGGGAUUCGCAAGAACCUCAUGGC